AACGCGAAGAACCUUACCUGGCCUUGACAUGUCCGGAAUCCUGCAGAGAUGCGGGAGUGCCUUCGGGAAUCGGAACACAGGUGCUGCAUGGCUGUCGUCAGCUCGUGUCGUGAGAUGUUGGGUUAAGUCCCGCAACGAGCGCAACCCUUGUCCUUAGUUGCCAGCGAGUAAUGUCGGGAACUCUAAGGAGACUGCCGGUGACAAACCGGAGGAAGGUGGGGAUGACGUCAAGUCCUCAUGGCCCUUACGGCCAGGGCUACACACGUACUACAAUGGUCGGUACAGAGGGUUGCGAAGCCGCGAGGUGGAGCCAAUCCCAGAAAGCCGAUCCCAGUCCGGAUCGAAGUCUGCAACUCGACUUCGUGAAGUCGGAAUCGCUAGUAAUCGCGGAUCAGCUAUGCCGCGGUGAAUACGUUCCCGGGUCUUGUACACACCG
Molecule: ribosomal RNA, 436 nt
Filed under: uncultured bacterium
Lineage: Bacteria
Description: bacterial SSU rRNA
Rfam family: Bacterial small subunit ribosomal RNA
Source: RNAcentral